RNAcentral lists this ribosomal RNA (500 nucleotides) under uncultured bacterium. RNAcentral's name for it is "partial 16S ribosomal RNA". It matches the Rfam family "Bacterial small subunit ribosomal RNA", at positions 30 to 523 of the family's 1533-position model. The record is from RNAcentral.
AUUGAACGCUAGCGGGAUGCCUUACACAUGCAAGUCGAACGGCAGCGCGGACCUCGGUCUGGCGGCGAGUGGCGAACGGGUGAGUAAUGUAUCGGAACGUGCCCAGUAGCGGGGGAUAACUACUCGAAAGAGUAGCUAAUACCGCAUACGCCCUACGGGGGAAAGGGGGGGAUCGCAAGACCUCUCACUAUUGGAGCGGCCGAUAUCGGAUUAGCUAGUUGUUGAGGUAAAGGCUCACCAAGGCGACGAUCCGUAGCUGGUUUGAGAGGACGACCAGCCACACUGGGACUGAGAAACGGCCCAGACUCCUACGGGAGGCAGCAGUGGGGAAUUUUGGACAAUGGGGGAAACCCUGAUCCAGCCAUUCCGCGUGUGCGAUGAAGGCCUUCGGGUUGUAAAGCACUUUUGGCAGGAAAGAAAUCGCAUCAAUUAAUACUUGGUGUGGAUGACGGUACCUGCAGAAUAAGCACCGGCUAACUACGUGCCAGCCGCCGCGGUAA